UUUUAUGAUACAAAUUAAAGUUGAAGGAUAUUAUUGAUACAAACAACUAAGUUGAGGGAUUAUGAAUGACAUUAACCCUUCCAAAUACAUAUUUAUAUUUUCAAGGCUAUUUUUCACAAUUUGUAAAAUUUUAAGAUUUUACCAUUCAAGUUUAUGGACGCCCAUCAAUUAUUGAUUGAAAAUGCAAGCUUGAUGAUCUUAGCAGAUAGUGAAGGGCAUGAAAAAUUCCCAUGGUUUAGCUAUAGCAUGUAGGUCUACUGUUAUUGAAAUUGAAACGGACUUGGUAUUGUUAUGGAAAUUGAAACGGACUUGAAUGGCGAACGAAGCUGAUGGACUUGGUAUUGUUAUGGAAAUUGAAACGGACUUGAAUGGCGAACGAAGCUGAUGGAAAUUGGUAUUGUUAUGGCAAUUGAUGCGGACUUAGUGUCAAACAAAGCUGAAUGA
RNAcentral lists this unclassified non-coding RNA (444 nucleotides) under Hevea brasiliensis (rubber tree). The record is from RNAcentral. Lineage: Eukaryota; Viridiplantae; Streptophyta; Magnoliopsida; Malpighiales; Euphorbiaceae.